Molecule: long non-coding RNA, 384 nt
Organism: Oncorhynchus tshawytscha (Chinook salmon)
Lineage: Eukaryota; Metazoa; Chordata; Actinopteri; Salmoniformes; Salmonidae
Source: Ensembl
AAUUCCCAGAGCCAGCGCACUAGAGGGACAUGGGAAUCCAAGGAGAAAGACUGGGAAGGAAGACCAAGGAGAGACUACUGAUAUGAAAGUCUACUCUCCUCUCAGCUACCUCGGCCUCGACUGUAAAUACAGGUGGGCUCUCUCCCUCGCAGGAAGACUGCUCUGUCCUGCGCUCUCACUGUCACAGGUCCACAGAAACACAGAUGAAAACACAGCCGUCUGGAGCCCAUGGUUAGCAGCUAUGUGAUCUACAUCCUACACCCUUCCCUUCUGUUCGAUUCGGCCUACACCAUUUAUGUCCCGGGUCAAUUUGACCUGUAAAAGGACCUGAGCCCUAGGACCAUGCCUCAGGACUACCUGACAGUCCUUGCUGUCCCCAGUCCA